AACCUUGCCACAAUCGCAAGGGGUCUUUGACUUUGUGUGUAAACGUGUUGAGCAUGCCAUGGCAUGUUUGGCAAUGUAGGGAAACAUCAAUGCUCACGCAUAAUCACAUCGAUAACCUUGCAAACGUAGCGUAUGCCAUGGAGUUCAGGAGCAACAAUGGUUGUCCUACACGAAGAUAUAGAUGAAACCAAGACAACAUGAGGGCAUGCCAAACAAGAAAUUCAAGCAAAGAAAUCUUGUUGCACAAAAUGUAGAGCUCUAUCUCGAUAAGAUUGUGAUAGGUUUGUGGACAUGUAAAUAGCACUAAUACUGUCACAAAUGAGGGCGGGGACGGUCGCCUUCCAUAGAGGAUGGUUGAGUUCAUGGAGAAGCACCACAGCCAAGUUGGAAAAGGUGAUAGCACACCUCCACAACUGCGUGAGGAAGUCAUCUAGCAUUAGAGGAUUGCGAUGCUAGGUUGUCUCUGAGGUAGAGAUAAUAUCCAUACUUGGUGACCAAAUAUCUAGUAAACUCAUUGAAUCACCAUCUGUAUAUGCGGUAAGGGACAUUGCUGAGGAGCGAGUGAUCCAUAAAUUGUAAGAAAGGGAGCCCUUGAUGCAUCGAAGAACAUGUUUGAACAACAAGGUAUGACAAUCAUGAGGAUCAUCUAUAUGCAAAUAAAUCAAUCACAUAAUAAUACACAACAUCAAUGAGGCACUGAAGGAAAUGAUGAUCCAUCAAUAGGCGAUCCACCUAGCAUGUGGGAAAUUGAGGGUGGCGGAUAUUUUACAUCAGGUGAUCCUCAAGAGCAUACUUGUCAGAGGUGGCCUCAAGAGCAUGUGAAACAUGGCAUAGUUGAGCUUAAUGCUCAAGUGUGACAGGUACUAUACUAGGAUUGUGCUGUUACCACAUUGACCACUUGAGGCCACAAAUGGUCGUUGAUAGGAGUUCUUGCUUUGUUUUGCAAUUAACUUAUAUGAGAAGAAGCGCAUGUGAUGGAGAGGCGCAUGAGGCAUAAGCAAAGGCUCUGGGGACGUGGAACCAUGCCGAUGUUCCUCGUCUCAAGAACGCAGAAACAUUAUCAUCCCCACCUUGUCAAAACCUCCCUCAAGUAGCAUGCCGCAUUCCUCAAUCACGUUCCUUGACCCCAUUGGCUCGGGAGCUUGUUGACUAGGGGCGUACGUGAAAGAGGGAGUAGAUUGAAUCAAGCUUGUCGAGUAGCAAUGAGUAGGUAGGCAUUCGCACAAGGCUCCCAUAUCCUGAUUAACUUACUUAAGCAUAUACUUGAUUGGAAGAAAACAAGAAAAGCCCCACAAAGCCUAAAUGCCUAAUACGUGAACAUUCAUGAGGCCGAUUAGGUUCAUGGCUCUAUGCUAUUCUGACGUGCGCAUCCGCCAUCUCCCAGCCGCCGGAUCCUGCUCUGAGCUGCCGCAUGCCAGCACAUGCCGCACCUGACAAGUGCUAUCACUAAGGAGUUGCUGCCAUGACUCAUGUUGCUCGUGCCGAUUCCCGAGUUGCCAACACCCAAGGAAGUACCAAAGAGAAUCUAGAAACAUCACUUAUGAUCAUCAUGCAAUUAACAAAUUAACAGAUAAAAGAAAAAUCUUCUUCACCACAAGGAGAAGUCAGAAGAGCAAUGUCGUGAAAUUGCAUUUUAAACAUGCUCAAGUGAGAGGACACACUUAAACCGAACAAAGGAGCAUGUGGAGCCAAUAUGUUCGAGGUUGUUGCAAGAAGACCUCCCUUAGUAAGCUCAUCAUUGAGAAUGGUACUUUUUACUUCGAAGAAUGGAUCAUAAUGUGGAAAGAGCACCCACCCUUCACAAUGGUGACUCACUGCGAAGCCGAAGACAUGCUAGUGGUGGCUAAGGUUUAGGUUUGGGGCAAAAGCAACGUAGGUUCUCUAUGUUUGAGUGCCCAACAGGGCUAAUAUACAAGAGACAAUACGCACAAUGCAAGAAACAUCCUACACUAGAAGCUAAAUACAAAACUAUACAUACUCAUGCAAUACAGUUCAAACAGAGAAGGAAAAAAAUCAAAGGUAACAUGCCAUUAACUAAGCUAAUCUAUGUAGCAUAACAAUUAACGAACAAACUUUAACUCUUAUGAUAAGACUGUAACAGUAGCAGUCACCAAACCAAACAAAGAGACAACCAAAAUAAGUAGUACAAGGUUCACAGCACUAUCCCCUGUUUUGCUUCUUACCAUCACGGGUUGCUCAGUACCAACGUUUUGCAAGCAGCAACCUACUCAUAGCCUCUAAGAAGUUCGAGCGUCAAGCACAUAUCAAUAUAAGUAAAAAGGAGCUCAAGGAAGUGCCUGCUGAUGUCAUGGGCGGAGGCUGCGACGGGUUCCUCCGGCGGGGCAGCGUUGAUGUCAAGCGGGAC
Molecule: long non-coding RNA, 2365 nt
Filed under: Setaria italica (foxtail millet)
Lineage: Eukaryota; Viridiplantae; Streptophyta; Magnoliopsida; Poales; Poaceae
Description: long non-coding RNA (SITA_LNC000127)
Source: RNAcentral